GAUGAACGCUGGCGGCGUGCCUAAUACAUGCAAGUCGAGCGAACGGACGAGAAGCUUGCUUCUCUGAUGUUAGCGGCGGACGGGUGAGUAACACGUGGAUAACCUACCUAUAAGACUGGGAUAACUUCGGGAAACCGGAGCUAAUACCGGAUAAUAUUUUGAACCGCAUGGUUCAAAAGUGAAAGACGGUCUUGCUGUCACUUAUAGAUGGAUCCGCGCUGCAUUAGCUAGUUGGUAAGGUAACGGCUUACCAAGGCAACGAUGCAUAGCCGACCUGUGAGGGUGAUCGGCCACACUGGAACUGAGACACGGUCCAGACUCCUACGGGAGGCAGCAGUCGGGAAUCUUCCGCAAUGGGCGAAAGCCUGACGGAGCAACGCCGCGUGAGUGAUGAAGGUCUUCGGAUCGUAAAACUCUGUUAUUAGGGAAGAACAUAUGUGUAAGUAACUGUGCACAUCUUGACGGUACCUAAUCAGAAAGCCACGGCUAACUACGUG
This 497-nucleotide ribosomal RNA is filed under the name uncultured bacterium. Its description in RNAcentral is "partial 16S ribosomal RNA". It matches the Rfam family "Bacterial small subunit ribosomal RNA", at positions 28 to 507 of the family's 1533-position model. The record is from RNAcentral.